AUGUCGCUGGCUUCCCCUGCGUUCCGGUGCUAUUAUGUUGGCAUAGGUUACAUCGUGUGUCUACCCCCGCUAUAUAAGAGAGGCCUAGGAUACAAGUGUCCUACUAGGACACGACUCCAUAUCCUAUCUAAACACAAUACUACUCAGAGUCCAACUGUAACCUACCUUGUACACAAUAUUCGACACAACUCUAACACCUGCAAAUCCAUAUCCUACUUGGAACAUAGAGUGGUAGCGAAGAACGCUGUGCCGAAGGUGUUGAUGACGUGCUUCUUCAGCACGCAUUUUCACGCAGCCUCGAUGAGGAUGUACGGUCCGAUCAGGGAGCUGCUGUCCUAUGAGAACCCACCAUUGUAUAGACGGACCCUCGUCAGAGAAUACAUCAAACAUUACUACUCCACCGGGUUAGAUGCAUAG
Molecule: ribosomal RNA, 417 nt
Filed under: Triticum aestivum (bread wheat)
Lineage: Eukaryota; Viridiplantae; Streptophyta; Magnoliopsida; Poales; Poaceae
Description: partial small subunit ribosomal RNA
Source: RNAcentral